AACUUUAAGAAGAGAUUUUCCAGGACUUAAGCUUAGAAGAUCCUUUGGGUUGCAUCCAAGGCUUACGGAGUUAGAGACUUCAACUUUGCUGUGACUCAAAUACAGUGAUCCUUUUUUCAGUUCAUUUUUAAAUGUGAUGAUGAUUUUACAAAAAACUAAGCAAGAUUGUUGUGUCAAGCGACUUAUUAGAUCAAUCCAUUUUUAGGUAUUCUCAUAUCACCUCUUAAUAGUAGGAUAGUAUGCAUUCUUGAACCAUGACAAAAGGAGAAUUUAGAUGCAUUGAAACAAAGGUGGGAAAUAUCAGAUAUCCCUGUAGUGAAAGUGAAAAAGGCACCUAAUUCUCCUCAAGAAAGUAUCUCAACAUGUAAGUACAUACAUGCCUCAUCUUGAUUCUUGAUGUGUAUCGUGAGAUAAGAGUAACAAAGUUUAUCUGUCAUUUGUUUCAUGUUACAGAUAAGUUUAUUGGUGUAUCUGCACUUUGUCUCAUUUUCAACAGAAAAGUUUACCCCCAAGGUUGGUAUCUUGGCGUGGGGGACUCACUCUUACCGGUUUUGGCAAAGAAGUGGUCUUUGCAUUUGAGAGCUGCGUGUCCCUGGGAACCUGAUUGUCUGAGAUUGACUUGCUGUAUAUUACUACCAGUUAAAUUUUACAUCUCCUAGUAGUGGUCAGGAGCUCUUUUGGUCAUGCCGAGAGAGGAUUGUUGUGUUUGGUCGUCCCCACAACAAGAAGGAGAUCAGUGAGGAAGCUGGGUUGAUUUUAGCAGUUUCCCAGUUAAAAGGAGGAAGUAGUGACAUGAAUGCACAUGUGCGGAGCAAUCACAGUCUUCAAGUUGUUACAAAACUUGUGUUGAAGCAAGUAUUAGUGGUGAAGCUAGUGAUUCUUGCAGUAUUAAUGAGCCUAGUAAUGCUGGAUGUGACACUGAUGAGGUUCAGCAAAGGAAGUCGCAGUUGUUACCAAAAUGGUGUGAAUCAGAAGUAAGUGACAAUGAGGAGAUGCAUUCUGAUAGCGUGAAGGUGAAGAGGGAUGCAACUAAAUGAAUUCUCAUUAAUAGGGCACCACCUAUUUUGAUCAUUCAUUUAAAGAGAUUCAGUCAAGAUCUUCGUGGCCGUUUGAGCAAAUUGAAUGGUCAUGUGGUUUUUUGAGAGACAGUUGAUCUUGGACCAUACUUGGAUCCCAGGUGCUUGGGGGCAGAUGAGUACGAAUUCCGGCUGAUCUAGAGACCAUGAGGGUGGCCACUAUGUUGCCUAUGCGAGAGCUGCAAAGGGUAACAAGAAGGCGGAUAAAGAAAGCGCAGAUUUUGUGUGGUAUCAUGCCAGUGAUGCUCACGUGCACGAGGCUUCAUUGGGAUAAGUUCUUAGGUGUGAGGCCUACAUCUUGUUUUACGAAAAACUUUGACCAAUUCUUUUUACCUUCCAUUCAUUAUGACCUCCAAAUUUAAUUC
Long non-coding RNA from Rhododendron vialii, 1441 nucleotides. RefSeq lists it as uncharacterized. The record is from RefSeq and is a predicted model, not a curated record. Lineage: Eukaryota; Viridiplantae; Streptophyta; Magnoliopsida; Ericales; Ericaceae. The transcript is spliced from 2 exons.